AGCGAACGCUGGCGGCAGGCCUAACACAUGCAAGUCGAACGAACCUUUCGGGGUUAGUGGCGGACGGGUGAGUAACACGUGGGAACGUGCCUUUAGGUUCGGAAUAACUCAGGGAAACUGGUGCUAAUACCGAAUGUGCUCUUCGGGGGAAAGAUUUAUCGCCUUUAGAGCGGCCCGCGUCUGAUUAGCUAGUUGGUUGAGGUAAUGGCUCACCAAGGCGACGAUCAGUAGCUGGUCUGAGAGGAUGAUCAGCCACAUUGGGACUGAGACACGGCCCAAACUCCUACGGGAGGCAGCAGUGGGGAAUCUUGCGAAAUGGGCGAAAGCCUGACGCAGCCAUGUCGCGUGAAUGAUGAAGGUCUUAGGAUUGUAAAAUUCUUUCACCGGGGACGAUAAUGACGGUACCCGGAGAAGAAGCCCCGGCUAACUUCGUG
RNAcentral lists this ribosomal RNA (434 nucleotides) under uncultured bacterium. Its description in RNAcentral is "partial 16S ribosomal RNA". It matches the Rfam family "Bacterial small subunit ribosomal RNA", at positions 29 to 507 of the family's 1533-position model. The record is from RNAcentral.